GAAAGGCUCCUAGUUAUUCACAUUUAAGAGCAUUUGGCUGUCUUGCCUAUGCUACUGUCCCAGUCCCACAGAGAGAUAAACUGAAGCCUAGAGCUAUUUCAUGUGUCUUUCUUGGAUAUCCCUUUGCCAAAAAGGGUUACAGGUUGUAUGACCUAACUACUAAAAAGUGUUUUGUGUCCAGGGAUGUUAUAUUUCAUGAAACUUGUUUUCCCUUUGCAACUGCUUCUGUUGUUACCUCUGGUCCUUCUGUUUUUCCUUCUCCUUCUGUCUGUUCCCUAAGCAUCCCUAUUCUUCUUGUUUUCCUUUUGCAUCUGCUUCUGAUGUUACCUCUGCUACUUCUGUUUUUCCUUCUCCUUCUGUCCCUUCCCCUGAGCAUCCUUAUUCUGAGAUUGAUCUGUCUGUUCCCAUUUGCUCUUCUCAUUCUGCACCUUUUCCUUCUGCUUCCAGUCCUGUUCCCUCUUCUUUUUCUCCCUCACUAUUUUCUGAUCUUAACCAACUUGCAUCCAGUCCUUUUUUCAAUACUGAUACUUCUUCUCAUGCUAUUUCUUCCUCUAUUGCUCCUACUGGCCACAGAAGAUCUGGCAGGCAACAUAAUCCUCCCUCUUAUCUCAAUGAUUAUGUUUGUCACUUACCUUCUUUUUCUGGCUCUUCCUCCUCUUCUUCUCCUUUGGAAUAUGAACCCCUCUAUUAUUCUCA
RNAcentral lists this long non-coding RNA (696 nucleotides) under Nicotiana benthamiana. RNAcentral describes it as "long non-coding RNA (NBEN_LNC009483)". The record is from RNAcentral. Lineage: Eukaryota; Viridiplantae; Streptophyta; Magnoliopsida; Solanales; Solanaceae.